Molecule: ribosomal RNA, 565 nt
Filed under: uncultured bacterium
Lineage: Bacteria
Description: bacterial SSU rRNA
Rfam family: Bacterial small subunit ribosomal RNA
Source: RNAcentral
CCUACGGGAGGCAGCAGUGGGGAAUUUUCCGCAAUGGGCGAAAGCCUGACGGAGCAAUACCGCGUGAGGGAUGACGGCCUAUGGGUUGUAAACCUCUUUUUUCAGGGAGGAAUAACUGACGUGUACCUGAAGAAUAAGCAUCGGCUAACUCCGUGCCAGCAGCCGCGGUAAGACGGAGGAUGCAAGUGUUAUCCGGAAUCACUGGGCGUAAAGCGUCUGUAGGUGGUCUAAUAAGUCAACUGUUAAAUCUUGAGGCUUAACUUCAAAACUGCAGUCGAAACUAUUAGACUAGAGUAUAGUAGGGGUAAAGGGAAUUUCCAGUGGAGCGGUGAAAUGCGUAGAUAUUGGAAAGAACACCGAUGGCGAAGGCACUUUACUGGGCUAUUACUAACACUCAGAGACGAAAGCUAGGGUAGCAAAUGGGAUUAGAUACCCCAGUAGUCCUAGCUGUAAACAAUGGAUACUAGAUGUUGAACAGAUCGACCUGUGCAGUAUCAAAGCUAACGCGUUAAGUAUCCCGCCUGGGAAGUAUGCUCGCAAGAGUGAAACUCAAAUGAAUUGACGG